Molecule: ribosomal RNA, 429 nt
Filed under: Acidobacteriota bacterium
Lineage: Bacteria; Pseudomonadati; Acidobacteriota
Description: Acidobacteria bacterium partial 16S ribosomal RNA
Rfam family: Bacterial small subunit ribosomal RNA
Source: RNAcentral
UGGGGAAUUUUGGACAAUGGGGGAAACCCUGAUCCAGCCAUCCCGCGUGUGCGAUGAAGGCCUUCGGGUUGUAAAGCACUUUUGGCAGGAAAGAAACGUCAUGGGUUAAUACCCCGUGAAACUGACGGUACCUGCAGAAUAAGCACCGGCUAACUACGUGCCAGCAGCCGCGGUAAUACGUAGGGUGCAAGCGUUAAUCGGAAUUACUGGGCGUAAAGCGUGCGCAGGCGGUUCGGUAAGAAAGAUGUGAAAUCCCAGAGCUCAACUUUAGAACGGCAUUUUUAACUACCGGGCUAGAGUGUGUCAGAGGGAGGUGGAAUUCCGCGUGUAGCAGUGAAAUGCGUAGAUAUGCGGAGGAACACCGAUGGCGAAGGCAGCCACCUGGGAUAACACUGACGCUCAUGCACGAAAGCGUGGGGAGCAAACAGG